GCAACUGUGUAUUUGCGAACUUCUUGGCGAGAACCUGUUGGAACACUCGGAGAACAUGACAAGACCUUGGAUUCACCUAUUUCAAUACCUGAGCUUCCAGUUGAGUUCCUUCUCAAAUAGCCGACUCCGGACUCAAUUUUGUCCAGGUUCACUGGCAUGCCAACAUCGUUUUUCUUGCUCAACUCAUAAGAUGCAGUGUCUUUAUCCAUCCUGCUUCCUGUGUUUGUUUUGGUGGUUGCAUCAUCCAAUAUAGACCCCUUAAGUGUGAGCGAAACCCCUGUCAUAAGACUGUCACUGUAUCUUCUUCUGCUUAGUUUGUUGCUUCUUGACACAGAAUAAUCAUUUUCUCCAAGAGGCUUCAGCUUCAAAUCACUUCGAUGCCUUGCAGAAACGGCUAAUUUUUUGGUGCAUGCUUGUAUUUCCUUUCCAUGGGAAGUUUUCAGCCUUCUGAUAUUUGCAGGUAGUUUAGUUGAGUGUAGUGGUUUCUUCCGUAUCUGCCACUUCACAGUUGUAGCCAAUUUUGAAUUUUCUCCUGAUGAAGUUACAGAUGUUUUGGACAUGUGAGUCCUCGCCUUUGUUUUACAGUUGAGUUCCGCACCAUCUUUGUUAGCGUCAGAAGAACCUGUUGGAACACUCACAUGACGUGGCAAGACCUUGGAGUCACCCAUUUCAAUACCUAAAUUGCCAGUUGAGUUCCUUCUCAAAUAACUGAGUUCAUGCUCAAUUUUCUCCAAGUUUGCAGGUUUUCCGACAACCUUCUUGUUGCCCAACUUAGAAGACCCAGUGUUCUUGUCCAUCCUGCUUCCUUUGUUUGGUGUGCCGGUUGCACCAUCCAACGGAGAAUUCUGAGCAAUUGAUGAUCCCCCUGGUAUGAUAGUGUCGCUGUAUCCUCUUAUCCUCAGCUUAUAGAUUCCGGACAUAGAAUUAGCAUUUUCCUGCAACGACUUCAUCUUCAAACCGUUCCGUUGUUUUACAGAAACAGCUAAUCUUUUGGCGUAUGCUGGGAUCUCCUGUCUCUGGGAUUUACCAGUUGUACGCCUCUUGAAAUUCACAGGUAGCUUACUCGAGCGUAGUGGUUUCUUCCUUAUCUGCACCUGUACAGUUGUAGUCAAUUCUGGUAUUUUUUCUGAUGCUACUACUGUUCUACUCAGCAGGGAAGUCCUUGCUAUUGUUGUUUGAUCAUCACGUUCAGCACCUUUGCAAGCGUCAUGGCAAGAACCUUUUGGAUCGCUCAGGUAACGUGACAAGACCUUGGAUUUAGCAAUUUGAAAGCCAAAGCUGCCAGUUGAGUUCCUUCUCAAAAAGCGAGCAUCACGCUCAAUUCUCUCCAGAUGUGCAGGUAUGCCAACAACCAUCUCAGCCAUUUUGAGUUUGAGCAAUGAAACUAGUACCACUGCAGAACUUAUCAGAAGCAGAGACCCUUUGAAACCUCGACCUCACAAAUGCAGCAUCCUAGUGUGGAAAAAAUAACAAGGACCUGUGAGAGAAUUGAUACUGAUAAAAAAAGCAA
RNAcentral lists this long non-coding RNA (1510 nucleotides) under Solanum tuberosum (potato). RNAcentral's name for it is "long non-coding RNA (STUB_LNC004156)". Lineage: Eukaryota; Viridiplantae; Streptophyta; Magnoliopsida; Solanales; Solanaceae. The record is from RNAcentral.